This 492-nucleotide ribosomal RNA is filed under the name uncultured bacterium. RNAcentral describes it as "partial 16S ribosomal RNA". It matches the Rfam family "Bacterial small subunit ribosomal RNA", at positions 28 to 507 of the family's 1533-position model. The record is from RNAcentral.
GAUGAACGCUAGCUACAGGCUUAACACAUGCAAGUCGAGGGGAAACGACAUCGAAAGCUUGCUUUUGAUGGGCGUCGACCGGCGCACGGGUGAGUAACGCGUAUCCAACCUGCCCAUCACUUGGGAAUAACCUUGCGAAAGUAAGACUAAUACCCAAUGAUAUCCCACGAAGGCAUCGGAAUGGGAUUAAAGAUUUAUCGGUGAUGGAUGGGGAUGCGUCUGAUUAGCUUGUUGGCGGGGUAACGGCCCACCAAGGCAACGAUCAGUAGGGGUUCUGAGAGGAAGGUCCCCCACAUUGGAACUGAGACACGGUCCAAACCCCUACGGGAGGCAGCAGUGAGGAAUAUUGGUCAAUGGGCGAGAGCCUGAACCAGCCAAGUAGCGUGCAGGAAGACGGCCCUAUGGGUUGUAAACUGCUUUUAUAAGGGAAUAAAGUGGGUCACGUGUGACUUUUUGCAUGUACCUUAUGAAUAAGGACCGGCUAAUUCCGUG